RNAcentral lists this non-coding RNA (29 nucleotides) under Rattus norvegicus (Norway rat). Lineage: Eukaryota; Metazoa; Chordata; Mammalia; Rodentia; Muridae. The record is from RNAcentral.
UCAGAUUUGUUUAAUCAAGAAAUGGCCCC